Molecule: ribosomal RNA, 484 nt
Filed under: uncultured bacterium
Lineage: Bacteria
Description: partial 16S ribosomal RNA
Rfam family: Bacterial small subunit ribosomal RNA
Source: RNAcentral
AUUGAACGCUGGCGGCAGGCCUAACACAUGCAAGUCGAGCGGAUGAAGGGAGCUUGCUCCUGGAUUCAGCGGCGGACGGGUGAGUAAUGCCUAGGAAUCUGCCUGGUAGUGGGGGAUAACGUCCGGAAACGGGCGCUAAUACUGCAUACGUCCUGAGGGAGAAAGUGGGGGAUCUUCGGACCUCAUGCUAUCAGAUGAGCCUAGGUCGGAUUAGUUAGUUGGUGGGGUAACGGCCUACCAAGGCGACGAUCCGUAACUGGUCUGAGAGGAUGAUCAGUCACCCUGGAACUGAGACACGGACCAGGCUCCUACGGGAGGCAGCAGUGGGGAAUAUUAGACAGUGGGGGGAAACCUGAUCCAGCCGGGCCACGUGUGUGAAGAAGGUCUUCGGAUUGUAAAGCACUUUAAGUUGGGAGGAAGGGCAGUAAGUUGAUACCUUGCUGUUUUGACGUUACCAACAGAAUAAGCACCGGCUAACUUCGUG